AGAGUUUGAUCAUGGCUCAGGAUGAACGCUAGCGGCAGGCUUAACACAUGCAAGUCGAGGGGUAACAUUGUGCUUGCACAGAUGACGACCGGCGCACGGGUGCGUAACGCGUAUAGAACCUACCUUUUACAGAGGGAUAGCCUUUAGAAAUGAAGAUUAAUACCUUAUAGUAUUGAGACUUGGCAUCAAGUUUUAAUUAAAGAUUUAUCGGUAAAAGAUGGCUAUGCGUCCUAUUAGUUAGUUGGUAAGGUAAUGGCUUACCAAGACAGCGAUAGGUAGGGGCCCUGAGAGGGGGAUCCCCCACACUGGUACUGAGACACGGACCAGACUCCUACGGGAGGCAGCAGUGAGGAAUAUUGGGCAAUGGAGGCAACUCUGACCCAGCCAUGCCGCGUGCAGGAAGACGGCCCUAUGGGUUGUAAACUGCUUUUAUACAGGAAGAAACACUCGUACGUGUACGAGCUUGACGGUACUGUAAGAAUAAGGACCGGCUAACUCCGUGCCAGCAGCCGCGGUAAUACGGAGGGUCCGAGCGUUAUCCGGAAUCAUUGGGUUUAAAGGGUCCGCAGGCGGUCAAUUAAGUCAGAGGUGAAAUACCAUAGCUCAACUAUGGAACUGCCUUUGAUACUGGUUGACUUGAGUCAUAUGGAAGUAGAUAGAAUGUGUAGUGUAGCGGUGAAAUGCAUAGAGAUUACACAGAAUACCGAUUGCGAAGGCAGUCUACUACGUAUGUACUGACGCUGA
This 744-nucleotide ribosomal RNA is filed under the name uncultured marine bacterium. RNAcentral's name for it is "bacterial SSU rRNA". It matches the Rfam family "Bacterial small subunit ribosomal RNA", at positions 8 to 749 of the family's 1533-position model. The record is from RNAcentral.